AAGAGGAGGGGAAAAUUUGAGAUGAAUGAAGCCUUUCAAACCAUCUCACACCUUCCAAUCCCUGAUUACAUGCAUAGUUGACCACAGUUGACUUUUCUAUGGUUUUGGAUGACUGGGCCAUGUUCUGAUGAAUUCCAAGCCUCUUUCAAUUGAGAUCUUGCUUCCAAAUGAUAUCACAAGUUAUAUGAACUCUUUAUGAGUGAUCAUGGUGUCCAAGUUCUUC
This 223-nucleotide long non-coding RNA is filed under the name Lathyrus oleraceus (garden pea). RNAcentral's name for it is "Pisum sativum (pea) long non-coding RNA (PSAT_LNC028157)". Lineage: Eukaryota; Viridiplantae; Streptophyta; Magnoliopsida; Fabales; Fabaceae. The record is from RNAcentral.